UACGUAGGGUGCAAGCGUUGUCCGGAAUUAUUGGGCGUAAAGAGCUCGUAGGCGGUUUGUCGCGUCUGCUGUGAAAACCCGAGGCUCAACCUCGGGCCUGCAGUGGGUACGGGCAGACUAGAGUGGCGGUAGGGGAGAUUGGAAUUCCUGGUGUAGCGGUGGAAUGCGCAGAUAGUCAAGGAGGAACACCAAUGGCGAAGGCAGAUCUCUGGGCCGUAACUGACGCUGAGGAGCGAAAGCAUGGGGAGCGAACAGG
Molecule: ribosomal RNA, 256 nt
Filed under: uncultured bacterium
Lineage: Bacteria
Description: partial 16S ribosomal RNA
Rfam family: Bacterial small subunit ribosomal RNA
Source: RNAcentral